This 540-nucleotide ribosomal RNA is filed under the name uncultured bacterium. Its description in RNAcentral is "bacterial SSU rRNA". It matches the Rfam family "Bacterial small subunit ribosomal RNA", at positions 777 to 1314 of the family's 1533-position model. The record is from RNAcentral.
AAUAGAUACCCUGGUAGUCCACGCCGUAAACGAUGAGUGCUAAGUGUCGGGGGUGACCAACCCUCGGUGCUGUCGCUAACGCAAUAAGCACUCCGCCUGGGGAGUACGGCCGCAAGGCUGAAACUCAAAGGAAUUGACGGGGGACCCGCACAAGCGGUGGAGCAUGUGGUUUAAUUCGAAGCAACGCGAAGAACCUUACCAAGGCUUGACAUCCCUCUGACCGGUUUAGAGAUAGACCUUUCCCUUCGGGGACAGAGGUGACAGGUGGUGCAUGGUUGUCGUCAGCUCGUGUCGUGAGAUGUUGGGUUAAGUCCCGCAACGAGCGCAACCCUUAUCUUUAGUUGCCAGCAUUCAGUUGGGCACUCUAGAGAGACUGCCGGUGACAAACCGGAGGAAGGUGGGGAUGACGUCAAAUCAUCAUGCCCCUUAUGUCUUGGGUCUACACACGUGCUACAAUGGGUGGUACAAAGGGCUGCAAAACCGCGAGGUUUAGCUAAUCCCAAAAAGCCACUCUCAGUUCGGAUUGCAGGCUGCAACUCG